Long non-coding RNA from Panicum virgatum (switchgrass), 713 nucleotides. RefSeq lists it as uncharacterized. The record is from RefSeq and is a predicted model, not a curated record. The transcript is spliced from 2 exons. Lineage: Eukaryota; Viridiplantae; Streptophyta; Magnoliopsida; Poales; Poaceae.
AGUGUCUUCACAUAAUUUCUUACUUUGUAACCAUGAUCCAUUACACUUUUUUACAGGAAGAAACCUAAGAAGAAGAAUCCUGCCAAGCCUGGGAGGAAAAAGAAGUCCAAGCCAACUGCUGCUGAUGCUACUGAACAGCCAACUCCAAGGACUAGAGGAGCACUGGCAAGGGAAGCUGCUGCAAAAGCAAAGAGAGAUGCAGAAGAAGCAGAACUGAAGGCAGCAGCAGCAAGGGAAGCAGCAGAAGUAGCAGCAAGGGAAGAGGUUGAAGCUACCAGGAAUGAAUUUGCAUCAUCUGUCCCUGAGCCAAGUGAAGAAGCAGCCCUUGAACCUAUGGCUUUGGCAGUGAUUAAUGCCCCAGAACCAAUUCAGACAACCCCCCAGCAAAAAGGGCACUAUUCUCAGAUGGUGAACAUGGCAAGAAACUUACACCAAAGAGGAAGGCCUUGGCAACUAAAGUGAAAAAAACACCACCUAAGAAGAAAGCACGCAAGAGCAAGUGAGGAGUGAGCAGUGAGAAGUGAGCAGUGACGCUAGUGUCUUUUGUGGUGUAUGAUUGGCUAAAUUACUGUAUUUUGCAUGGCCUUUGGCAACUUCUGUGUUGUAAAGUGAACUCCAUGUAUUCUCUGUUGGGAACUCCAUAUAGUUGGGAACAUUCUCUGUUGGUCAUCUUUUCUGUUCGUCAUUCAAAUUACCUCAUUUCAUUUGCUCAA